UGGGGAAUAUUGCACAAUGGGCGCAAGCCUGAUGCAGCCAUGCCGCGUGUGUGAAGAAGGCCUUCGGGUUGUAAAGUACUUUCAGCGGGGAGGAAGGGAGUAAAGUUAAUACCUUUGCUCAUUGACGUUACCCGCAGAAGAAGCACCGGCUAACUCCGUGCCAGCAGCCGCGGUAAUACGGAGGGUGCAAGCGUUAAUCGGAAUUACUGGGCGUAAAGCGCACGCAGGCGGUUUGUUAAGUCAGAUGUGAAAUCCCCGGGCUUAACCUGGGAACUGCAUUCGAAACUGGCAGGCUAGAGUCUUGUAGAGGGGGGUAGAAUUCCAGGUGUAGCGGUGAAAUGCGUAGAGAUCUGGAGGAAUACCGGUGGCGAAGGCGGCCCCCUGGACAAAGACUGACGCUCAGGUGCGAAAGCGUGGGGAGCAAACAGG
RNAcentral lists this ribosomal RNA (429 nucleotides) under Chloroflexota bacterium. RNAcentral describes it as "Chloroflexi bacterium partial 16S ribosomal RNA". It matches the Rfam family "Bacterial small subunit ribosomal RNA", at positions 355 to 776 of the family's 1533-position model. The record is from RNAcentral. Lineage: Bacteria; Bacillati; Chloroflexota.